UUUAUUCAUCCUACUAUUGUUGCAUGCCUGCAAACCUAUGAGAUUCUUGACAGUAUCAUUUAUGCAAUUAAUAUUCAGUCUUGGCAGCCUCUGGAUUAAGCCUUUUGUCUUUUGCUGUACGCUCACUGAUGAUAUUGCUCAGGGCAGUUGACCUUGCGGAGGUCCCUUCCCUUGGUUUGACCACCACCUCGCAGCACCAGGUAUCAAGUGGAAAAGGAUAACUAGUGACCAGCGCAAAAGUGUUGUCGCCUUGUGAGAAUGAAGGUAAUUCACCUCGAGGAAAACCAAUGAAUAGGGAAAAUUUUAUGUGCUACCCAACAAGUAUCUGAUGCAUUUUGCAUGGGGUUUGUCAGCUCAUCCCAAAGAAGGUUAAUUAAACGUUCAAGCCACUGCAUCACCAACCUCCAAACGGUAUAUACUUUCUUCUGGUCUAAUAUGUUGAAAUGUUCAUGGUUCUUGACAAUCCAUAGUUUAAUAGCAGAGGUUAAUUAGUGGUGCCAUGGUUUUUGAGUAAGCUUACAGUUAACUUUGUUUCACUCAACAAUACAUGCAACUUCCACUGAUUUGCAGAUGCAUUAAACACACAACUCAUGUUUUCCUUCUGUAUUGAAAAUAUAUCUUCAAUCCUGCACAGUUAAAAGUUCCAUUAGCUUGGCAAGUGUCAGAAAGCAUCACUAAACAAUUUAAAUCAGGUUCCAAGUAGUUCUUAUCUCCCUUUAGUUGUGCAUUUUAUAAUACUUGAUUUUGAUGGUGAUUCACAGAUCUCCCUUUAGUUUUGCUUCUGUAUUUAAUGCAUGCCUUUAAUCUUGUGUGGUUGGGAAUUCCAUUAGCUCAAACAAUUAAAAUCAGGUUUCAAGCAGUUCUUAUGUCCCUGUAAUUAUGUGAUUUAUAAUAAAUACUAGACUUAUAUGGUGAUUCACAUAUGCAGUAAACACAACUCAUGUUUUCUUUCUGUAAAGAGAACAUGUCUUUAAUCCUAUACAGUUGAAAGUUUCAUAAGCUUAAGAAAUGAUAGAAAACAUCACACAGCAAUUUUAAUUAGGGUUCCAAGUAGAUCCAGUGUCCUCUUGGCUUUGCAUUUUAUAAUACUUGACUUUUGCCAUAAUUGUGUUGCUAGUUCUGAUGUACCCAUGGUUUUGCAUUUUCUAAUACUUGACUUUUGCUUUGGUCGAGACAUCACAGAUUUGUUUUUUUUUUUUUUUUCUAUAUAAAAGAUUUCUUUUUCUUUUGCAUCUUAGAGUCUUUUGUAUUAGUGCAUAGAGCAUGAAAGAAGGGUGACAUGGUCAUUUGCUUCCUUUACUAAACUUCAUUUCUUGCUAGUUGUUCUACGCAAACAUAAAUCAUAGAGAAACUGGCAUGCAAAUGAGGAAGAUUUUAAACACUUAACAUACCAAAGAAAAGAAAAUCUAGAAGAAAGAAUAGACUCAUUCCUUGACUUCUUGAUCAAUAUAUUAUACAUGAAAUUGGCACAUUCUAAAGUCGAUGGUCGACAAACUUAUAUGUCAUAGGUGGCUCAUGUAGCUUGGACUUGCUACAUGUUGCCUACGUUUAUGUUUGACUUUUGGUUGCUUCGUGGGCUUUUACAUAAGAAUGGAUGCAAUAUUCUUCUCCACUGCAGGCAUUAUUCAAUCGAUCAUCUCACAUGCAAAUAUAAGAGGUAAAACCUACUACAGGCAUGACUUAUGCAUUCAGGUUGACAGUACAUCAAUAGUUUGUUCUUUUUUCGUUUAAUUGCAUUACUUUGUUUAAACAAUUUCCAUGAAAGUGAAAUUUGCAGGUUAGAAGUUUCUGUGGUGCAAUAUAAUCCACAAAGCUCACAAGAUUUGAUGACAAGUCUUGCCCCAUUCAGUGAAAAUUUCAGAUUGUGUUGAUCAUCCAAGAAAAAUUAAGGUGAUUUGAGCUACAUAUAUGUCGCAAUCUUUUAAGUAUUACAUAACCUGCAUUUAACAUACUUAUAGUGGGAUUUACAGAUUUAUCGAGGACAAACUAAGAAGAAAUAUGUGUUGGAAAAUUAGCAGGUGACUCAGUAAAGCUUAUUUAGGUUACAAGAUGAUAAUUUUAGCUCAUCAAAUAUGUUACAAGAUUAAUUCAACUUAGGAAAGCCCAUAAUCCACAGAGGGAUUAUCCAUCACAAUGCCAUGAAAUAUGUGCAAUUUGUCUUAAUAUGGAGAUCAAUAUCCCAACCUGAUUCUGGUAAGAGAAAAAUUCUCAUGUUUGACUUUUUAGUAACCUGAGAGGUGCAAGUAUACAAAACUAGUCCUGAGACAUCCACGUAGUGUAAUUCCACUCGAACCAUCCUAAGAAAAUUCUUUCGAAACGCAUUUUAUAUUGUGGAUUGCAUCUUCUGAUAGGAAAAUGCAUGUCUCAGAAAUGGUCCAAUAAUUUUUAGUGAGCAUGAGAUCAUACAAAUAAAAAAAUAAGGGAAAAAAAUCUUGAUGUGAUCUUACUCUUGGGUUAUGAAGUUGACCCUGAUGAAAGUAAAAUGUCAACCCUAUCUUAAAAGGAGAAAAGAAAUAUGAGAGUUCAACGAACCAUAUCAAGGCUUUGACUUUUUCUCUUCAAUCUACUGAUUACUCCCAAUCUGAUCUUCUAACAGCUUCUUCUCCGCAUCCAAUCCCACUUUUGAUGGGAUGAGAUGUCAUCAACUAUUGUUCUUCU
RNAcentral lists this long non-coding RNA (2658 nucleotides) under Musa acuminata (dwarf banana). RNAcentral describes it as "long non-coding RNA (MACU_LNC001062)". The record is from RNAcentral. Lineage: Eukaryota; Viridiplantae; Streptophyta; Magnoliopsida; Zingiberales; Musaceae.